AUAGUAAGCGUCUUUAUUAUGGUCGUUUCAUUCUGUCCCCGCUUAGAAAAGGUCAAGCGGAUACCGUUGGUAUUGCCUUGCGAAGAGCUUUACUUGGAGAAACAGAAGGAACAUGUAUCACACAUGCAAAAUUUGGGAGCGUGCCGCACGAAUAUUCUACAAUAGCAGGUAUUGAAGAAUCGGUACAAGAAAUUUUACUAAAUUUGA
RNAcentral lists this unclassified non-coding RNA (207 nucleotides) under Hevea brasiliensis (rubber tree). The record is from RNAcentral. Lineage: Eukaryota; Viridiplantae; Streptophyta; Magnoliopsida; Malpighiales; Euphorbiaceae.